CCGGAUCUCAGAUCAAGCA
This 19-nucleotide ribosomal RNA is filed under the name Pseudo-nitzschia pseudodelicatissima. RNAcentral's name for it is "partial 28S ribosomal RNA". RNAcentral also lists the same sequence under 1 other name. The record is from RNAcentral. Lineage: Eukaryota; Bacillariophyta; Bacillariophyceae; Bacillariales; Bacillariaceae.